GAUGAACGCUGGCGGCGUGCCUAAUACAUGCAAGUCGAGCGAACAGACGAGGAGCUUGCUCCUCUGACGUUAGCGGCGGACGGGUGAGUAAAACGUGGAUAACCUACCUAUAAGACUGGGAUAACUUCGGGAAACCGGAGCUAAUACCGGAUAAUAUAUUGAACCGCAUGGUUCAAUAGUGAAAGACGGUUUUGCUGUCACUUAUAGAUGGAUCCGCGCCGCAUUAGCUAGUUGGUAAGGUAACGGCUUACCAAGGCAACGAUGCGUAGCCGACCUGAGAGGGUGAUCGGCCACACUGGAACUGAGACACGGUCCAGACUCCUACGGGAGGCAGCAGUAGGGAAUCUUCCGCAAUGGGCGAAAGCCUGACGGAGCAACGCCGCGUGAGUGAUGAAGGUCUUCGGAUCGUAAAGCUCUGUUAUUGGGGAAGAACAAAUGUGUAAGUAACUAUGCACGUCUUGACGGUACCUAAACAGAAAGCCACGGCUAACUACGUG
RNAcentral lists this ribosomal RNA (497 nucleotides) under uncultured bacterium. RNAcentral's name for it is "partial 16S ribosomal RNA". It matches the Rfam family "Bacterial small subunit ribosomal RNA", at positions 28 to 507 of the family's 1533-position model. The record is from RNAcentral.